Molecule: non-coding RNA, 2247 nt
Filed under: Pongo abelii (Sumatran orangutan)
Lineage: Eukaryota; Metazoa; Chordata; Mammalia; Primates; Hominidae
Source: RNAcentral
AAAAACAGGCGGCGUAGCAGGUGGGCAGCACGUUGCCAUGAUGUUCCGUGGCCCGGCCGUGGCUGGCGUGAUCCCACCAGAGUGAGCUGGAGCAGAUCUGCACCAUGAGCCAAGUUUCUCAGAAAAUAUAUGGCUGUCCUGUGGGCCGCAGCCUAAUGCCCACAUUCUUCUCGGGGCAGAUCAAAGGUUAUUCAACCAGGGCAAAGGACAGCCUUGCAAACCAACUACGUCCUCCUUCUGGAGUUUGUGUGACCCCUGGUCCCUGAGCCCGCACCCUCUCGGAGCGGGGUUCCAACUCCGUGGAAGCUCUGCUGAGAUGCAGACAGGAAAAUAAGAAGGCAGAAGAUGGUCUGCAAAGGAUAAAAACAGGUGCAUCCAAGAAUGAGAAAAAUGGCCCAUGAAGAAAUGUGUAACUCUCCAAGAGAUGCAGACACUCUGCUCAGAGAAGUCAAGAACCACAAACAACUCUUGAUGUUUCAUGGACAAAGGGAAGGCAAAGGCAUACAAAAAUACUCAGUUGUCUUGAAAAAGAGUGUACUGGUAGUGAUCAGGGCUGCAAAGGUGAGCCCUGUACUGACAAUGGAGGAGCCUUACAACUCAGCACCUUAAAGUGUUGGCCUGAAGUGGUGGCAGGGAGGGAGGCGCUGACGGAAAGACCCAUGGCUCACCACUUACUGCGUGUACACAGGGCCUGGAGCAAGCCUCACAAGUCUACCAUUUCUUCCACUCAACUGUGCUUCUCCUGAAUCCAUGUGCCUGAAAUGACAUGUGCAAGGUUCUCAAAAAGUGGUGUAGACUCAGCCAAAUGCCAGGAAAUGUGUCUAACGCCAGAGGAGACGCAGAGCCAGAAAUGAAGGCUACGGGUCCUGUCUUCAGUGCAGCACUGAUCGCUCUCGGAAAGCUCCCAUCAUUCUUGCAUCGCUACUGCCACCAAGACGGUGGCAAGGGAGGCGGCUAACUUUCAAAUGCAUGCAACGGCAGAGUUCCCGAAUGAGAGCUUUUCUGGCUUCAGUACCAAUGAUCACAGAAGGAACAUCUUCCUGAUGCAAGCUUAGAUGGAAGUCAAGGACCCUGGCAGUGCUAAGAACAGAAGUCACACGUGGCCUGACAACGAAGGGGAGGUUCGGAUGGCAUACACCGACAAGAGAAGGCAGAGACCAUCCUUCAUGGUGAGCACAAAAUGCUAAGACAGGUAAUUGCAGAGAGAAAAAAGCACCCAACUCUGUAAAGCCAAGUCCAGUCACCCAUUCAUAAGAGUCCAAAAUCCUUCAAAUCUCUAGGAACAGAAGACAAACAGGCUGCCCAGAAUGAGCUGAGACACAAGGCAAACCCUUGGAAAUGACACACGGAUGAGGAGGCUGUGGUUGUCCCUCCUUAUUCCUGCUGGAUCUGCAGCCAUGGCUCUGGAUCUGGGGCAUCUACUGGCCUCCCCUGUUCACUCAAGAGGCCACUGCCUCUCAAGAGUCCAGAAUGCUCCGAUAUCUGACACCGGUGGUCAGGAAGUUACACUGCCCUCCCCUCUUGAACAGCUAAGAUGCUUGGACACUAGACAGAGGCAAAGCAAUUAUGCCAGAAGCAGGGGAGAGUCAUUCACUGUCAGAUCUGUCUGUUCAAAGAGCUCACAUUAGACCAAUUACAGAAAACCACCAGACUCACACAGCUUGUAUUUGAAUGAACCAGGAGAGACUUCAAGGAUGAACUCUAAAGUGCUAGAAGACAAAUCUGUGUUUGGGGCACUCAAUAAACAAGUGAUGUCCUAGAAGAUCAACACCCCAUCAGUCUUAGGAGUAUGACCCUAUUCAUGGACAAGGGGUUUCAAUGGACAGCCUGAGUGCUCACCCCCGCAUCCUCCUCUCCUAGCAAGACAAGCAGUCUGUUGCUCAGAGGCGGAAACUGACGUCAUUUAACAGGAGGCCAGGACUUCUGGUUCUAGUUCAACAAACAGUACAUAAUUUUGGACACAGCAUCAGAUUUCCUGACUUCUUAGAAAAGACAGCUAAUUAAAAACGUGUCAAUCUCUAGUAAUUAGUUGGAGAUUAACAAGGGCAGAAGAGAAUCCAAGUCUUAAAACUCUAUGUGGGAUAUACACUUCUGAUGAAGCUUCUAUUUGACUAAUAUACUGUGAUGAUGGCACUAUUCGAUUUUAAACUAUGGAGACAGCUUUUAUUCUUUCGAUUUGGAUCCUGGUAAGUGGUGAUACUACUAUGUAACAGUUAAAGCACAAAUGUAUUGCCAUAGUUAAGGCUG